RNAcentral lists this ribosomal RNA (1501 nucleotides) under uncultured bacterium. RNAcentral describes it as "bacterial SSU rRNA". It matches the Rfam family "Bacterial small subunit ribosomal RNA". The record is from RNAcentral.
AGAGUUUGAUCCUGGCUCAGAUUGAACGCUGGCGGCAGGCCUAACACAUGCAAGUCGAGCGGUAGCACAGAGAGCUUGCUCUCGGGUGACGAGCGGCGGACGGGUGAGUAAUGUCUGGGAAACUGCCUGAUGGAGGGGGAUAACUACUGGAAACGGUAGCUAAUACCGCAUAAUGUCGCAAGACCAAAGUGGGGGACCUUCGGGCCUCAUGCCAUCAGAUGUGCCCAGAUGGGAUUAGCUAGUAGGUGGGGUAACGGCUCACCUAGGCGACGAUCCCUAGCUGGUCUGAGAGGAUGACCAGCCACACUGGAACUGAGACACGGUCCAGACUCCUACGGGAGGCAGCAGUGGGGAAUAUUGCACAAUGGGCGCAAGCCUGAUGCAGCCAUGCCGCGUGUGUGAAGAAGGCCUUCGGGUUGUAAAGCACUUUCAGCGGGGAGGAAGGCGGUGAGGUUAAUAACCUCAUCGAUUGACGUUACCCGCAGAAGAAGCACCGGCUAACUCCGUGCCAGCAGCCGCGGUAAUACGGAGGGUGCAAGCGUUAAUCGGAAUUACUGGGCGUAAAGCGCACGCAGGCGGUCUGUCAAGUCGGAUGUGAAAUCCCCGGGCUCAACCUGGGAACUGCAUUCGAAACUGGCAGGCUAGAGUCUUGUAGAGGGGGGUAGAAUUCCAGGUGUAGCGGUGAAAUGCGUAGAGAUCUGGAGGAAUACCGGUGGCGAAGGCGGCCCCCUGGACAAAGACUGACGCUCAGGUGCGAAAGCGUGGGGAGCAAACAGGAUUAGAUACCCUGGUAGUCCACGCCGUAAACGAUGUCGAUUUGGAGGUUGUGCCCUUGAGGCGUGGCUUCCGGAGCUAACGCGUUAAAUCGACCGCCUGGGGAGUACGGCCGCAAGGUUAAAACUCAAAUGAAUUGACGGGGGCCCGCACAAGCGGUGGAGCAUGUGGUUUAAUUCGAUGCAACGCGAAGAACCUUACCUGGUCUUGACAUCCACAGAACUUUCCAGAGAUGGAUUGGUGCCUUCGGGAACUGUGAGACAGGUGCUGCAUGGCUGUCGUCAGCUCGUGUUGUGAAAUGUUGGGUUAAGUCCCGCAACGAGCGCAACCCUUAUCCUUUGUUGCCAGCGGUUAGGCCGGGAACUCAAAGGAGACUGCCAGUGAUAAACUGGAGGAAGGUGGGGAUGACGUCAAGUCAUCAUGGCCCUUACGACCAGGGCUACACACGUGCUACAAUGGCAUAUACAAAGAGAAGCGACCUCGCGAGAGCAAGCGGACCUCAUAAAGUAUGUCGUAGUCCGGAUUGGAGUCUGCAACUCGACUCCAUGAAGUCGGAAUCGCUAGUAAUCGUAGAUCAGAAUGCUACGGUGAAUACGUUCCCGGGCCUUGUACACACCGCCCGUCACACCAUGGGAGUGGGUUGCAAAAGAAGUAGGUAGCUUAACCUUCGGGAGGGCGCUUACCACUUUGUGAUUCAUGACUGGGGUGAAGUCGUAACAAGGUAACC